GACGAACGCUGGCGGCGUGCUUAACACAUGCAAGUCGAACGCUGAAGCUCAGCUUGCUGGGUGGAUGAGUGGCGAACGGGUGAGUAACACGUGAGUAACCUGCCCUCUUCUUUGGGAUAACGCCCGGAAACGGGUGCUAAUACUGGAUAUUCACUGAUUCUCGCAUGGGGGUUGGUGGAAAGGUUUUUUCUGGUGGGGGAUGGGCUCGCGGCCUAUCAGCUUGUUGGUGGGGUGAUGGCCUACCAAGGCUUUGACGGGUAGCCGGCCUGAGAGGGUGACCGGUCACAUUGGGACUGAGAUACGGCCCAGACUCCUACGGGAGGCAGCAGUUGGGAAUAUUGCACAAUGGGCGAAAGCCUGAUGCAGCGACGCCGCGUGAGGGAUGGAGGCCUUCGGGUUGUAAACCUCUUUCGCUCAUGGUCAAGCCGCAGCUUUGGGUUGUGGUGAGGGUAGUGGGUAAAGAAGCGCCGGCUAACUACGUG
Molecule: ribosomal RNA, 482 nt
Filed under: uncultured bacterium
Lineage: Bacteria
Description: partial 16S ribosomal RNA
Rfam family: Bacterial small subunit ribosomal RNA
Source: RNAcentral